This 434-nucleotide ribosomal RNA is filed under the name Paraclostridium sp. Its description in RNAcentral is "bacterial SSU rRNA". It matches the Rfam family "Bacterial small subunit ribosomal RNA", at positions 132 to 583 of the family's 1533-position model. The record is from RNAcentral. Lineage: Bacteria; Bacillati; Bacillota; Clostridia; Peptostreptococcales; Peptostreptococcaceae.
UGUACACACGGAUAACAUACCGAAAGGUAUACUAAUACGGGAUAACAUACGAAAGUCGCAUGGUUUUUGUAUCAAAGCUCCGGCGGUACAGGAUGGACCCGCGUCUGAUUAGCUAGUUGGUAAGGUAAUGGCUUACCAAGGCAACGAUCAGUAGCCGACCUGAGAGGGUGAUCGGCCACACUGGAACUGAGACACGGUCCAGACUCCUACGGGAGGCAGCAGUGGGGAAUAUUGCACAAUGGGCGAAAGCCUGAUGCAGCAACGCCGCGUGAGCGAUGAAGGCCUUCGGGUCGGAAGGCUCUGUCCUCAAGGAAGAUAAUGACGGUACUUGAGGAGGAAGCCCCGGCUAACUACGUGCCAGCAGCCGCGGUAAUACUUAGGGGGCUAGCGUUAUCCGGAAUUACUGGGCGUAAAGGGGUGCGUAGGUGGUUUUU